Molecule: ribosomal RNA, 253 nt
Filed under: uncultured bacterium
Lineage: Bacteria
Description: partial 16S ribosomal RNA
Rfam family: Bacterial small subunit ribosomal RNA
Source: RNAcentral
UACGUAGGGUGCAAGCGUUGUCCGGAAUUAUUGGGCGUAAAGAGCUCGUAGGCGGUUUGUCGCGUCUGCUGUGAAAACUCGGGGCUUAACCCCGGGCCUGCAGUGGGUACGGGCAGACUAGAGUGCGGUAGGGGAGACUGGAAUUCCUGGUGUAGCGGUGGAAUGCGCAGAUAUCAGGAAGAACACCCGUGGCGAAGGCGGUUCUCUGGGACGGUACUGACGCUGAGACGCGAAAGCGUGGGGAGCGAACAGG